This 253-nucleotide ribosomal RNA is filed under the name uncultured bacterium. RNAcentral describes it as "partial 16S ribosomal RNA". It matches the Rfam family "Bacterial small subunit ribosomal RNA", at positions 524 to 776 of the family's 1533-position model. The record is from RNAcentral.
UACGUAGGUGGCGAGCGUUGUCCGGAAUUACUGGGUGUAAAGCGCGUGUAGGCGGGAGGCCCAGUCUGUGGUGAAAUCGCCUGGCUUAACUGGGCGGGGUCCAUGGAAACUGGUCACCUGGAGGUCGGUAGAGGCAAGUGGAAUUCCCGGUGUAGUGGUGAAAUGCGUAGAGAUCGGGAGGAACACCAGUGGCGAAGGCGGCUUGCUGGGCCGGACCUGACGCUGAGACGCGAAGGCGUGGGGAGCGAACGGG